This 568-nucleotide long non-coding RNA is filed under the name Anas platyrhynchos platyrhynchos (common mallard). RNAcentral's name for it is "lncRNA (ENSAPLG00000022623.1)". Lineage: Eukaryota; Metazoa; Chordata; Aves; Anseriformes; Anatidae. The record is from RNAcentral.
CAAAGCCGAAGCUGAGCGGAGGCUGAAGGGGCUGUAACGCGAAAUCAGUUUGCUGUAAUGUCAGAGAUAGAAAUCAGCGAGAAGCCGCGCAGGAGCGUGUUAUCCCGGCAGUAGAUACGAGCCCAUUCUGGAUCAUCUUAGAGGGCCUGUUUUCUCCAGUUCUGCAAAGACGUCAGUACUGCUGGAUUCCUGAGCCCAUUCAAAGAGCCUCUGAGAUAAAGGAGGUGUAUGAAUUUUGCCAGGAAAAACAAACUGGCUAACAAAAGAAGAGAGGAACACAACACCAAACACCAAACGACCAUCCACUGAGACAUCUGAACAGCUACAGACCACUCCUGCCAGCACAGAGCCCAGGUGGGGACAGUGCUUGACUUUCUGCCCUGCGCUGAGUACACACAGCGACAUGCACUGGGAUCACCUACACAGGGCCAGAGGGAGAAAGAGGAGCACCUCAGAGGAGAUACAAGGCCAAGAAAUUCCCCAUGCUAAGCUGCCUGAGGGGUGCAUUAAGCACAGGAGGCUAACCCAGCAUUGCAACACCAACCUGCAUCCACCUCUGAAUUCGUAA